UCGAGCGCGAAAGUCCCUUCGGGGGCGAGUAGAGCGGCGGACGGGUGAGUAAUACGUGGAUAAUCUGCCCUCGAGCCUGGGAUAACCCUGCGAAAGUGGGGCUAAUACCGGAUAAGACCACAUGGCGUAUGCCACGGGGUAGAAGGUGGCUUAUAUUUAUAUGAGCUAUCACUUGAGGAUGAGUCCAUGGCCUAUCAGCUUGUUGGUGAGGUAAGAGCUCACCAAGGCAAUGACGGGUAGCUGGUCUGAGAGGACGACCAGCCACACUGGGACUGAGACACGGCCCAGACUCCUACGGGAGGCAGCAGUGGGGAAUAUUGGGCAAUGGGCGAAAGCCUGACCCAGCGACGCCGCGUGGGCGAUGAAGGCCUUCGGGUUGUAAAGCCCUUUCGUGCGGAAAGAACAGCCCUGAAACGAAUAAUUUCAGGGUUUGACGGUACCGCAGGAAGAAGCACCGGCUAACUCCGUGCCAGCAGCCGCGGUAAUACGGAGGGUGCAAGCGUUGUUCGGAAUUAUUGGGCGUAAAGGGCGCGUAGGCGGUAGUGAUAGUCAGAUGUGAAAUCCUCCGGCUUAACUGGAGAACUGCAUCUGAUACUUCACAACUAGAGUACGGGAGAGGGAAACGGA
This 627-nucleotide ribosomal RNA is filed under the name uncultured bacterium. RNAcentral describes it as "bacterial SSU rRNA". It matches the Rfam family "Bacterial small subunit ribosomal RNA", at positions 62 to 665 of the family's 1533-position model. The record is from RNAcentral.